GAAUAUUGGACAAUGGGCGCAAGCCUGAUCCAGCCAUGCCGCGUGUGUGAAGAAGGCCUUCGGGUUGUAAAGCACUUUUGUUGGGGAAGAAAAGCCAUGGGCUAAUACCCUGUGGUUCUGACGGUACCCAAAGAAUAAGCACCGGCUAACUCCGUGCCAGCAGCCGCGGUAAUACGGAGGGUGCAAGCGUUGUUCGGAUUUACUGGGCGUAAAGCGCGCGCAGGUGGGCGUGCAAGUCGGAAGUGAAAUCCUGGGGCUCAACCCUGGGGCUGCUUCCGAAACUGCAGGUCUAGGGACUGGUAGAGGCUGGUAGAAUUCCCGGUGUAGCGGUGGAAUGCGUAGAGAUCGGGAAGAAUACCCGUGGCGAAGGCGGCCAGCUGGGCCAGGUCCGACACUGAGGCGCGAAAGCGUGGGGAGCAAACAG
Molecule: ribosomal RNA, 424 nt
Filed under: uncultured bacterium
Lineage: Bacteria
Description: bacterial SSU rRNA
Rfam family: Bacterial small subunit ribosomal RNA
Source: RNAcentral